RNAcentral lists this ribosomal RNA (254 nucleotides) under uncultured bacterium. Its description in RNAcentral is "partial 16S ribosomal RNA". It matches the Rfam family "Bacterial small subunit ribosomal RNA", at positions 524 to 776 of the family's 1533-position model. The record is from RNAcentral.
UACGUAGGGUCCGAGCGUUGUCCGGAUUUAUUGGGCGUAAAGAGCUCGUAGGCGGUUUGGCAAGUCGGGUGUGAAAUUUCGAGGCUCAACCUCGAAACGCCACUCGAUACUGCCAUGACUGGAGUCCGGUAGAGGAGUGCGGAAUUCCUGGUGUAGCGGUGAAAUGCGCAGAUAUCAGGAGGAACACCAACGGCGAAGGCAGCACUCUGGGCCGGUACUGACGCUGAGGAGCGAAAGCGUGGGGAGCAAACAGG